CCCCCCGCAGCGCCAUGGUCGGCUCCGCGCACGCGCGGCCCCUCAGGCGGCCCCCUGGCGACGGCGGCGUGCGGGCGGGGCGUUGCCGGGGGCGCCCCCCCCGCCGCGCCCCCAUGGCCGCCGCCGCCCGCCCGCGCCAUGCAGCGGCCGCGCGGCCCCGCGGGUGACGGCGCCGGGCGGGGAGCGGCCCCCGGGGAGCGGCCCGGGCCCGGCCACGGCCACGGGCGGGCGCUGGAGGAGCCGGAGGAGCCGGCGGCGCUGAGGCGGGAGCGGCGCCGCCUCCUGCUGCGCCUGCUGCGGGCCGCCGGGCCCCGGCCCCUGCUGGGGCUGCUGCUGCGGGACCGGCGCCUGAGGCGCGGCGUCGCCGGGGAGCGGCGGGAGGCGCCGGGCGCCGGCCCCGCGGCGCUGCUCGGGCGGCCCGGGGAGGAGCCGGAGGGCGGCGGGGACGGGGCGCUGCGGGCCCUGCGGGCGCGGCUGGGCGGGGAGGCCGAGCCCGGGCUGCCGCCGCCCCCGCCCCUGCCCCCGGCCGGGCACGGCGCGGGAGCCGCCGCGGGCCGGCUGCUGGCGGGCAGCAGGGCCCGGAGCGCGCACGGCUGCUGCGGGCACCGCGCCGCGGACACCCCGCGGGCCGCCGAGCGGGGAGCGAGCCCGAGGAGAGUGCUGAGCGCCAGCAAGGGGAGGAACAAGCUGCCGUGGGACGGCCGGCGCGCCGCGGGCGAGGAGGGCGGCUCGGGAGGCGCGAUGCCCUCCGCCAAGGGCGUGCAGCAGUUCCCUCCGUCCAGUGACUUCCUUCAUUCUCCAAAGCUGAGGCUGUCUCAAGGAACACCAGGCAGUGAGGAGUUAUUUUUUAGUAGAAAAAGGCUGCCGAGGAGUUUGUUUCAGAACAGCGUAGAUUUUAACUCUGAGCAUUCUUCUGUUUGUGCCGGUGCUAUGGGCUCUCACCAGCCGCAUAUUUCAGGGAAAUGUGGAACACUUGGAUGCACACAGACACGUGGGAAGAGUGGUAGUGUGGACUCUGAUUUACAGUUUUUAGGAUUAAAUGACAGUCAGCAGGACAAAGGUAUAUGGAUUUUAACUGUCAUGUGUCAGUGCAUGUCACUUGGGAAACGUCUCUUCUGUGCUGCCUUAAGAAAUAAAAACAAUUAUCAAAAUGUUGUUCUGUCCCUACACAAACACGUUUCCCACAGUUAUUUCAGGAGUGAGAAACACUCCCCUCUGCAGCUGAAGCCCGCCUUGGUGAGACACCCAGCUUCCCGCAGAGGCCUGAAUGGGAUCAGACCCGUGCCCCCCAUACCGCGGCUCGCCAGCCCGCUGCCCGAUAAGAUCGAGUUAAGUGUGACAAAGUGGAAAAACGAGGAGUGUGAGGACACGUGGGUGAAUGGAGUGGGCAGGAAGCUUGCAGCUGAUCUUUCAGAGCUAACUCUUGAUGGCGAGGAAGUGGACCAAGAAGAGAUGCAAAGUUCACUUAGAUCUCUACGAAAUAGUGCAGCUAAGAAGAGGGCAAAGCUAACCAGCAACAUUUCAGAUCUUGAAAGUCCCGAUUCUGCUCUUAAACUCGACCUGUCUGGGGAUUCCCCUUCCCAUGCUUCCUCGCCAAGUGUGGGCUCCUGUAGCGAAAGCGGAGUCUACAGCCAGGAGUCUCUGACGUCUCCUAUAUCCACGGUUCCUCAGAGAAAGAGAAUAAUGUCAGACACCUUUCCACUGCUUGGCAAUAAAUCACAGCCUGCAAGAGUAUAUUCAGCAAGAAAUAGAGAUGCAAAUGUGGCAGAACAUAACUCAAGCACAGGUAUUUCACUGUGGACUUCUAAUGUUAGCAUAGUUGGCCAACGUCUGAACUGUGGCAAUGGAUGUGGAGAUUAUGAGGACAAGAAGCAAAAAGAAGGGUCACGAAGUAUUUUUAAAAGUCAAAAUAUGGAACAACAAAGAAAUUUUAAGCAUUCAAAAGUUUUUGCAGGGUCAACAUCUGGUUUUCAACAGAUGAAUAACCUAGAUUUCAUUUCGCCAAGUGUCUUGUCUGAAGAUGCGGUUGUAGUUGUUGGUAAAGGUGUUUUUGGAAGUCCUUCUUCUGCUCAAACACAAAGCCAGCCCAUAGCAUGUGCAGAGAAUGGAGACGACCAGUCUGUCAAACAGGAGACUGAGCCACCCUCAGGGAUCUGUAGGAGAAGCAUCCAGCAGAGCAGUGCUUCUCAUUUCCACGCUGAAAAUGAAAAAGAGAUAAAAGUGGCCUUGUCAAAAUCUGUCCAGGAUAAGAUGCGGCAGAAGAAAAAAGAAGGAAAAGAACAAAAUCACAAAGAACAUCAGGAAGUCAAAGACCUUGAAGAAAAGGAAGAAAAUUCUUGGGAAAGACUUAAACUAAAUGAACCAGAGAAAACAACAACAGAAAAUGAAAUUUCUCUUGGGCCACGAGGACGCUAUAAAGAGCGGACCCCAUCAGUCACUCAUAGUCCAGAAAUAAUGGAUCCGUCAGAACUGCAGCCCUUUUCAAAACCAGAAACGGCACUGACAGAAGCCCUGGUACUUUUAGCUGAUGAUGACUGGGAGAAGAAGAUUGAAGGUCUGAACUUUGUUAGAUGUUUGUCUGCCUACCAUGCAGCUAUUCUGACUGUAAAGCUUCAUGAAACAAGUCUGGCUGUGGCUCAAGAGGUCAAGAAUUUACGCUCAGGUGUUUCUCGAGCUGCUGUGGUCUGUUUAGGGGAUUUGUUCACCCACCUGAAAAAGAGCAUGGAUCAAGAACUAGAUAAUACAGUAAAAGUCCUUUUGCACAAAGCUGGUGAAUCCAACACAUUUAUAAGGGAAGAGGUAGACAAAGCACUGAAGGCUAUGGUUAAUAAUGUGACUCCAGCACGUGCACUUUGUUCUCUUAUAAAUGGAGGGCAAAGCCACCUGCACGCGGCGGUGAGGAGAUGCACAGCCCAGCACAUGUCGGAUAUUGUAGAGCGUAUGGGACCGGAGUGGAUGCUGGCUGGAACCAAAGUUGUCACUGAUAGGAUUUUCCCUGCAAUAGCCAGGUUUACACUGGAUAGUUCCCAGCAAACAAGGUAUUAUGGUCGAAAGAUGCUUUUCAGUAUGAUGAAUCAUCCUGAUUUUGAUAAAACACUUGAAAAAUAUGUGCCAGCCAAGGAUUUGCCUUACAUUAAGGAAUUUGUUAGCAAUCUACGUCAAAAGGGUUUGGGGGAGAUGCCAUUAGACACACCCUCAGCGAAAGGAAGACGUUCUCAUACUAGUAUUGUUGGGCAUUCAAGGUCAUCAUCUACUUCCAGAGAUGCUCUCAGCAUCACUGACAGAGAGACUACGGAAGCCCGUGAAGUUACAAGAAAAGCAGCUCCUCGUAAUUCAAUAGAAAGUGAAGAGUAUGUUAAAGACAUUAUAGGUUUAUUGAAUGCAAAAGACUUCCGUGAUCGAAUAAAUGGAAUUAAUCAGCUGUUAUCAGAUACAGAGAAGAAUCAAGACUUUGUUGUUGCAAACAUCGUGAAGAUCUUUGAUGCUUUCAAGCCUCGCUUACAUGACUCAAACAGUAAAGUAAAUCAGGUUGCUUUGGAGACAAUGUACAAGAUGAUUCCACUGCUGAAAGACAAUUUAUCUCCGGUGAUCAACAUGUUGGUUCCUGCAAUGGUAGACAACAACCUAAACUCCAAAAAUCCAGGGAUUUAUGCAGCUGCCACAAAUGUUAUUCAGGCUCUAUGUCAACACUUAGACAACUAUUUGCUUCUCCAGCCAUUCUGCACAAAAGCCCAGUUUCUGCAUGGAAAAGCAAAACAAGACAUCACAGAAAAGCUUGCUGAUCUGGUGGCGGAGCUGUACCCGCGGAAGCCGCAGGCCGUGGAGCAGAAGGUCCUGGCCGUGCUCUGGCACCUGCUGGGCACGGCGAGCAGCGGCGGCCCCGCACCGGGGGCCGGGGGCAGCAUCCGGGCGGCCACGGCCAAGCUGUCCCGGGCCCUGUUCGCGCAGAUGGGCCCCGGGCUGCUGGCACGCGCCGCCGCGCAGCCCCCGCACGUCAGGAGGAGCCUGGAGGAGUUCCUGGAGCUGCCGGCCUGA
Long non-coding RNA from Cairina moschata (Muscovy duck), 4035 nucleotides. NCBI's taxonomy places the organism in Eukaryota, Metazoa, Chordata, Aves, Anseriformes, Anatidae. The record is from Ensembl.